AAUCAACGCUGGCGGCGUGCCUCAGACAUGCAAGUCGAACGCGAAAGUUUCCUUCGGGGGAUGAGUAGAGUGGCGCACGGGUGAGUAACACGUAGGUAAUCUACCUUUGGAUGGGGAAUAACAAUCGGAAACGGUUGCUAAUACCGCAUAAUGCAGCGGCACCUAAUGGUGACAGUUGUUAAAGCGGGGGAUCGAAAGACCUCGCGUCUGAAGAGGAGCCUGCGGCGGAUUAGCUAGUUGGUAAGGUAACGGCUUACCAAGGCGACGAUCCGUAGCCGGCCUGAGAGGGCGGUCGGCCACACUGACACUGACAUACGGGUCAGACUCCUACGGGAGGCAGCAGUCGGGAAUUUUGGGCAAUGGGCGAAAGCCUGACCCAGCAACGCCGCGUGAA
Molecule: ribosomal RNA, 394 nt
Filed under: uncultured bacterium
Lineage: Bacteria
Description: bacterial SSU rRNA
Rfam family: Bacterial small subunit ribosomal RNA
Source: RNAcentral